AUGCCGCGUGCAGGAAGACUGCCCUAUGGGUUGUAAACUGCUUUUAUAUAGGAAGAAACCUUGGUACGUGUACCAAGCUGACGGUACUAUAAGAAUAAGGAUCGGCUAACUCCGUGCCAGCAGCCGCGGUAAUACGGAGGAUCCAAGCGUUAUCCGGAGUCAUUGGGUUUAAAGGGUCCGUAGGUGGAUAAUUAAGUCAGAGGUGAAAUCUUGCAGCUCAACUGUAAAAUUGCCUUUGAUACUGGUUAUCUUGAGUUAUUAUGAAGUAGUUAGAAUAUGUAGUGUAGCGGUGAAAUGCAUAGAUAUUACAUAGAAUACCAAUUGCGAAGGCAGAUUACUAAUAAUCAACUGACACUGAUGGACGAAAGCGUGGGUAGCGAACAGGAUUAGAUACCCUGGUAGUCCACGCCGUAAACGAUGGUUACUAGCUGUUUGGACCUUGUGUCUGAGUGGCUAAGCGAAAGUGAUAAGUAACCCACCUGGGGAGUACGUUCGCAAGAAUGAAACUCAAAGGAAUUGACGGGGGCCCGCACAAGCGGUGGAGCAUGUGGUUUAAUUCGAUGAUACGCGAGGAACCUUACCAGGGCUUAAAUGUAAGUUGCAUUAGUUAGAGAUAGCUAUUUCUUCGGACCACUUACAAGGUGCUGCAUGGUUGUCGUCAGCUCGUGCCGUGAGGUGUCAGGUUAAGUCCUAUAACGAGCGCAACCCCUGUUGUUAGUUGCCAGCGAGUCAUGUCGGGAACUCUAACAAGACUGCCGGUGCAAACCGUGAGGAAGGUGGGGAUGACGUCAAAUCAUCACGGCCCUUACGUCCUGGGCUACACA
RNAcentral lists this ribosomal RNA (824 nucleotides) under uncultured Flavobacteriaceae bacterium. RNAcentral's name for it is "bacterial SSU rRNA". It matches the Rfam family "Bacterial small subunit ribosomal RNA", at positions 394 to 1220 of the family's 1533-position model. The record is from RNAcentral. Lineage: Bacteria; Pseudomonadati; Bacteroidota; Flavobacteriia; Flavobacteriales; Flavobacteriaceae.